GAGGGUUCCAGUUUUGGCAGCAUAAGUUGGUGUGUGAUAUUGUAUGCUUGUUCUGGUGUGUUUGGGCUGAAUAUGCCCUGUUUUACUAGUACUGUUGGGAGGAUAAAGUUUGUCUUGUGAUAGUAGUUUUGUGUAUGAAAGAUAUGAAAGUAAAUUCUAUCUCGGGUAUCAUUUGGGCAAAAGCCAAAUGCGCCCUAGCCCUAAUAGGCUUGUAAAAAGUCCGGGAAUCCUCAUUUAAAUUGAUAUUUGAGGCUUCUUUUCCCUUUCCUGUCCUCU
Molecule: unclassified non-coding RNA, 276 nt
Filed under: Hevea brasiliensis (rubber tree)
Lineage: Eukaryota; Viridiplantae; Streptophyta; Magnoliopsida; Malpighiales; Euphorbiaceae
Source: RNAcentral